RNAcentral lists this ribosomal RNA (492 nucleotides) under uncultured Lachnospiraceae bacterium. RNAcentral's name for it is "bacterial SSU rRNA". It matches the Rfam family "Bacterial small subunit ribosomal RNA", at positions 15 to 507 of the family's 1533-position model. Lineage: Bacteria; Bacillati; Bacillota; Clostridia; Lachnospirales; Lachnospiraceae. The record is from RNAcentral.
UAUCCUGGCUCAGGAUGAACGCUGGCGGCGUGCUUAACACAUGCAAGUCGAGCGAAGCACUUCAUCUUAAUUCUUCGGAUGAGAGAUGAUUUGACUGAGCGGCGGACGGGUGAGUAACGCGUGGGCGACCUGCCUCAUACAGGGGGAUAACAGUUAGAAAUGACUGCUAAUACCGCAUAAGACCACAGUACUGCAUGGUACAGUGGUAAAAACUCCGGUGGUAUGAGAUGGGCCCGCGUCUGAUUAGCUUGUUGGCGGGGUAACGGCCCACCAAGGCGACGAUCAGUAGCCGACCUGAGAGGGUGACCGGCCACAUUGGGACUGAGACACGGCCCAAACUCCUACGGGAGGCAGCGGUGGGGAAUAUUGCACAAUGGGGGAAACCCUGAUGCAGCGACGCCGCGUGAGCGAUGAAGUAUUUCGGUAUGUAAAGCUCUAUCAGCAGGGAAGAAAAUGACGGUACCUGACUAAGAAGCCCCGGCUAACUACGUG